Molecule: ribosomal RNA, 492 nt
Filed under: uncultured bacterium
Lineage: Bacteria
Description: bacterial SSU rRNA
Rfam family: Bacterial small subunit ribosomal RNA
Source: RNAcentral
AUUGAACGCUGGCGGCAGGCCUAACACAUGCAAGUCGAGCGGCAGCGGGAAAGUAGCUUGCUACUUUUGCCGGCGAGCGGCGGACGGGUGAGUAAUGCCUGGGAAAUUGCCCAGUCGAGGGGGAUAACAGUUGGAAACGACUGCUAAUACCGCAUACGCCCUACGGGGGAAAGCAGGGGACCUUCGGGCCUUGCGCGAUUGGAUAUGCCCAGGUGGGAUUAGCUUGUUGGUGAGGUAAUGGCUCACCAAGGCGACGAUCCGUAGCGGGUCUGAGAGGAUGAUCCGCCACACUGGGACUGAGACACGGCCCAGACUCCUACGGGAGGCAGCAGUGGGGAAUUUUGGACAAUGGGCGCAAGCCUGAUCCAGCCAUGCCGCGUGAGUGAAGAAGGCCUUCGGGUUGUAAAGCUCUUUUGUCCGGGAGCAAGUCCUACUGGCUAAUAUCUGGUGGGGAUGAGAGUACUGGAAGAAUAAGCACCGGCUAACUACGUG